Molecule: non-coding RNA, 31 nt
Filed under: Mus musculus (house mouse)
Lineage: Eukaryota; Metazoa; Chordata; Mammalia; Rodentia; Muridae
Source: RNAcentral
UUCCNGAAGCAGGGCAUGAACUGCAGAGUUU